AUAACUCAGUUGGUAGAGUGCUUGCCUGGCAUGCGUGAAACCCUGAGUUUGAUUCUCAGU
This 60-nucleotide transfer RNA is filed under the name Neotoma lepida (desert woodrat). It matches the Rfam family "tRNA", at positions 7 to 64 of the family's 71-position model. Rfam says of the family: Transfer RNA (tRNA) molecules are approximately 80 nucleotides in length. Their secondary structure includes four short double-helical elements and three loops (D, anti-codon, and T loops). Further hydrogen bonds mediate the characteristic L-shaped molecular structure. tRNAs have two regions of fundamental functional importance: the anti-codon, which is responsible for specific mRNA codon recognition, and the 3' end, to which the tRNAs corresponding amino acid is attached (by aminoacyl-tRNA synthetases). tRNAs cope with the degeneracy of the genetic code in two manners: having more than one tRNA (with a specific anti-codon) for a particular amino acid; and 'wobble' base-pairing, i.e. permitting non-standard base-pairing at the 3rd anti-codon position. Lineage: Eukaryota; Metazoa; Chordata; Mammalia; Rodentia; Cricetidae. The record is from Rfam by way of RNAcentral.